This 468-nucleotide ribosomal RNA is filed under the name uncultured bacterium. RNAcentral describes it as "partial 16S ribosomal RNA". It matches the Rfam family "Bacterial small subunit ribosomal RNA", at positions 28 to 507 of the family's 1533-position model. The record is from RNAcentral.
GACGAACGCUGGCGGCGUGCUUAACACAUGCAAGUCGAACGGAAAGGCCCUGCUCUUGUGGGGUGCUCGAUUGGCGAACGCGUGAGUAACACGUGAGUAACCUGCCCUUGACUUUGGGAUAACUUCAGGGAACUGGGGCUAAUACCGGAUAGGAGCUCCUGCUGCAUGGUGGGGGAUGGAAAGUUUCGGCGGUUGGGGCUGGUCUAGCGGCUUAUCAGCUUGAUGGGGGGGUAGGGGCUUCCCACGGCUUUGACGGGUAGCCGGCCUUGGAGGGUGAACGGGCACCAUGGGACUGCGGUACGGCCCAGACUCCUACGGGAGGCAACAGGGGGGAAUCUUGCGCAGUGGGCCGAAGCCUGAUGCAGCAACGCCGCGUGCGGGAUGACGGCCUUCGGGUUGUAAACCGCUUUCGCCUGUGACGAAGCGUGAGUGACGGUAAUGGGUAAAGAAGCACCGGCUAACUACGUG